UCACUGGUGUUCGGGUUGUCAUGCCAAUGGCACUGCCCGGUAGCUAAAUGCGGAAGAGAUAAGUGCUGAAAGCAUCUAAGCACGAAACUUGCCCCGAGAUGAGUUCUCCCUGAGACUUUAGGUCUCCUGAAGGAACGUUGAAGACGACGACGUUGAUAGGCCGGGUGUGUAAGCGCAGCGAUGCGUUGAGCUAACCGGUACUAAUGAACCGUGAGGCUUAACCUUACAACGCCGAAG
This 237-nucleotide ribosomal RNA is filed under the name Salmonella enterica subsp. enterica serovar Oranienburg. RNAcentral's name for it is "partial 23S ribosomal RNA". It matches the Rfam family "Bacterial large subunit ribosomal RNA", at positions 2706 to 2925 of the family's 2925-position model. RNAcentral also lists the same sequence under 1 other name. Lineage: Bacteria; Pseudomonadati; Pseudomonadota; Gammaproteobacteria; Enterobacterales; Enterobacteriaceae. The record is from RNAcentral.